UACAGAGGUGGCAAGCGUUGUUCGGAAUUACUGGGCGUAAAGGGCGCGUAGGCGGUCCUGUAAGUCCCGUGUGAAAUCCCCCGGCUCAACUGGGGAAUGGCACGGGAGACUGCGGGGCUUGAGUUCGGGAGAGGGAAGCGGAAUUCCGGGUGUAGCGGUGAAAUGCGUAGAUAUCCGGAGGAACACCGGUGGCGAAGGCGGCUUCCUGGACCGACACUGACGCUAAGGCGCGAAAGCUAGGGGAGCAAACGGG
This 253-nucleotide ribosomal RNA is filed under the name uncultured bacterium. Its description in RNAcentral is "partial 16S ribosomal RNA". It matches the Rfam family "Bacterial small subunit ribosomal RNA", at positions 524 to 776 of the family's 1533-position model. The record is from RNAcentral.